RNAcentral lists this ribosomal RNA (253 nucleotides) under uncultured bacterium. Its description in RNAcentral is "partial 16S ribosomal RNA". It matches the Rfam family "Bacterial small subunit ribosomal RNA", at positions 524 to 776 of the family's 1533-position model. The record is from RNAcentral.
GACGAAGGUGGCAAGCGUUACUCGGAAUUACUAGGCGUAAAGCGCGAGCAGGCGGUUUGAUAAGUCUGUUGUGAAAGCCCCGGGCUCAACCCGGGGAGGCCAAUGGAUACUAUCAGACUUGAAUACGGGAGAGGUCACUGGAAUUCCUGGUGUAGCGGUGAAAUGCGUAGAUAUCAGGAGGAACACCGAAGGCGAAGGCAGGUGACUGGACCGUUAUUGACGCUGAGUCGCGAAAGCCGGGGGAGCAAACAGG